AGGCAUCGUGGCGGUGGUGGUGGCAGGAGCCACGAUGGGCUCCUGGUUCCUCUUGAAGAUGUUUCUCAUGGUGGCAGAGGGGACAGCUGAGGGUGAGAGGAAGAGAGCAAGCGCAAAGGUGCGGAGUCCACAGUGUGCAGAGACAAUGGCCCUCAGCAAUGCAUGCUCAGGGCUGUGACAGGGACCUACUGCAUGUGAGCUGCCAAUCCAAACUACGAUCUGAGGUGAGGGUUUUUAGUUGUGUUUUGGGUUUGUUUUUUACAUGCUUCUCACUUAACAGCUGGGGAAACAGACUCAAAGAGCUAAACAAUCCUGAGGUCACUCGAGCCUGACAGACCGGCCUGGCUCCAAAGCCUAGAGACCGCUUUCCUGUGUCAUACACAUCUAGGAAUGUGGGGAUUUGCAUCUAACCUCCACAGCUCUCGGAAGGAGCAGGACUCUGUGCUCCCUGACUUCACAGAAUGGCCCGGCCUGCACUCUGCCUGUCUCCACGACACAAGGACACCGGGAGCCUUGGCUGCCUGUACUGGCCUCCAGCACUUGCUCAGAGUCUGUUCCUACGUUUUCAGAUCCAUUUCUCUAGCCCUGUGCCUCCCAGCAGCCCUAGAGCAAAGAGGUGGCAUCCCCAGGAGAUAGGAGGACAGAAAGACAGAGGCAGAGACGUUGGGGGGGGGGCACACGAUCCCACCAACCAGAGAACAAAGGCACUUGGCACACCUCAGACCAGCAUUCAUUCUGUCUCAUGUCUAGACUAUACCGUGCAUAAGUUGGCACUCUGCUUAUACUUUUCCUUUACAUUUUGUCUUCAUCACUAAGUGGCUAAAAUGCAUCCCACCGUACAUAGUAGUACUGUGAUCUUUUUAUCCCAUUAGUAAUAGAGUGUCCACUGCUAUGUCUCUGGGGUAUAAAUAAAUGGUAGUCCUUGCUUAGCAUGUGCUUGCCUAGGUUCUGAACCCAGCACUACACAUACUCAUACAUGUGUAUGUAUAGUAAAUAUGUAUGUAUAAUUAGAUAUACACAUGCAUAUAUUGCUAUAUAUACUAUGCAUAUAUUAUAACUAUAACUACAUACCUAUACAUAUACAUCGAUAACAAGAUGAGCAUAAACUGUGGUCUUCAUUUAAAGCUGUUCUCACAAGCUCCCAAACUCUAUCCUGCCCUCCAUGCCCUCUCUCACACUGCUCGGCUGCUCAAAGGGGUCUGAGCCUCUUCAACUCACAGGGGCAGGGGCUGUGCUGUGCUGACAUUAGCUGCUCCUGUGUCACACGCACACAUUUCUAAGAUACACUUUCUUGAUAUCUGGCUUGCUUGCCUUUGAGACAGGAUCUGACUAUACAGUAUAGGGCUGGUCUUGAACUUACGAUCCUGAUGUCUCAGUCUCCCAGGGGCUGGAGUUAUAGGUGUUCAUUGGCACGUCUGCUUGUGACCUCUUUCCUUUAGUGUGUUAAGUUUCUUCCAUGCAGCCUGUAUUCAUUCUGUGUGAUGGGUUGGUGGGUGGGUUUUUUUGAGGCAGGGUUUCUCUGUGUGGCCCUGGCUAACCUAGAACUCACUCUGUAGACCAGGCUGGCCUCAAACUCACAGAGAUCCGCCUGCCUCUCCCUCCCGAGUGCUGGGAUUAAAGGUGUGUGCCAACACCACCUGGCCUGUAUCAGUUCUUAAUUGCUACUUACAAAUAACAAUUAUAUUCCUCUACAUAAAUAACACAUUUUUACUUAUCCAGUCAUCAAUUUAUGGACAUUUGGGUUAUUUCUGCUUUGGGGCUAUAAUUAUGAAUUAUUAUGAAUAUCUACAUAUGUUUUUGCUUAUCUUGGCUAUAGUUACGAGGGAAAUGUCACUAGAUCACAAGCUUUCCCUUGUUGCUGUGUUCGUGAGGCUGGAAAGGUGCCUCACUGUGGUUCUGACCUGCAUUUCUCUACCGUCUGAUGCGCUGGGCAGUGUCCACCACUCAUCAGCCAUUUGGUUAUUUUCUUUAGGUAAAUGAGUAUUCAAAUCCUUGACUAAUUAAAACAUUAGUAUAUUUUAUGGGGGUGCACGUGUGCCACAGUGUGGAAAUCAGAGGACAGCUUGAUUCUCUCCUUUCUCUGGGAAAGACUCUGGUUGCAGAGUCACCCAGAUGGAACACAGGUUGUCACACCUGGUGGCAAUCCCCUUUACCCGCGGAGCCAUCUUGCCAGCCCCUUUGCCACCUUUAAAUUGAAUGUCUGUCUUUUUGUUGUUGAAUUAUAUCAUUUACAUAUUCCGGAUUGUAGCUUCUUACUGGAGAGGGAGCUCUAGUCGGUCAGGUUGCAUUCCCUGCCCAGACUGCUACAAGAGCCAGUGGCAAUGUCUCCGCUCCACAGAGGACUGGGGAGUGUCCAAAAAAUCAUUUAUAAAACAAUUCUUUAACCUUAGAGCUACUUUUUAUGAUGUCCUUUAAAACAUAAAUGUUUUUAAUUUUGA
This is a long non-coding RNA of Mesocricetus auratus (golden hamster), 2438 nucleotides long. RefSeq lists it as uncharacterized. Lineage: Eukaryota; Metazoa; Chordata; Mammalia; Rodentia; Cricetidae. The transcript is spliced from 2 exons. The record is from RefSeq and is a predicted model, not a curated record.